CAGCCGCCACGGUAAUACGAAGGGGGCUAGCGUUGCUCGGAAUGACUGGGCGCAAAGGGCGCGUAGGCGGUUCGGAUAGUCAGAUGUGAAAUUCCUGGGCUUAACCUGGGGGCUGCAUUUGAUACUGUCGGGCUUGAGUAUGGAAGAGGGUCGUGGAAUUCCCAGUGUAGAGGUGAAAUUCGUAGAUAUUGGGAAGAACACCGGUGGCGAAGGCGGCGACCUGGUCCAUAACUGACGCUGAGGCGCGAAAGCGUGGGGAGCAAACAGGAUUAGAUACCCCCGUAGUCCCUGUCUCUUAUAC
Molecule: ribosomal RNA, 301 nt
Filed under: uncultured bacterium
Lineage: Bacteria
Description: partial 16S ribosomal RNA
Rfam family: Bacterial small subunit ribosomal RNA
Source: RNAcentral